UACGUAGGGUGCAAGCGUUUGUCCGGAAUUAUUGGGCGUAAAGAGCUCGUAGGCGGUCUGUCGCGUCUGCUGUGAAAACUCAGGGCUUAACCCUGAGCUUGCAGUGGGUACGGGCAGACUAGAGUGCGGUAGGGGAGACUGGAAUUCCUGGUGUAGCGGUGAAAUGCGCAGAUAUCAGGGAGGGAACACCCGGUGGGCGAAAGGCGGGGUCUCUGGGCCGUAACUGACGCUGGAGGAGCGAAAGCAUCGGGGAGCGAACAGG
RNAcentral lists this ribosomal RNA (262 nucleotides) under uncultured bacterium. RNAcentral's name for it is "partial 16S ribosomal RNA". It matches the Rfam family "Bacterial small subunit ribosomal RNA", at positions 524 to 776 of the family's 1533-position model. The record is from RNAcentral.